UGGGGAAUCUUGCGCAAUGGGCGAAAGCCUGACGCAGCAACGCCGCGUGCGGGAUGACGGCUUUCGGGUUGUAAACCGCUUUCAGCAGGGACGAAAUUGACGGUACCUGCAGAAGAAGCCCCGGCCAACUACGUGCCAGCAGCCGCGGUAAUACGUAGGGGGCGAGCGUUGUCCGGAUUCAUUGGGCGUAAAGAGCUCGUAGGCGGCUUGGCAAGUCGGGUGUGAAACCUCCAGGCUCAACCUGGAGCGGCCACUCGAUACUGCCAUGGCUAGAGUCCGGUAGGGGACCACGGAAUUCCUGGUGUAGCGGUGAAAUGCGCAGAUAUCAGGAGGAACACCGGUGGCGAAGGCGGUGGUCUGGGCCGGUACUGACGCUGAGGAGCGAAAGCGUGGGGAGCGAACAGGAUUAGAUACCCUGGUAGUCCACGCCGUAAACGUUGGGCACUAGGUGUGGGCGGUUGUCAACGCCGUCCGUGCCGUAGCUAACGCAUUAAGUGCCCCGCCUGGGGAGUACGGCCGC
Molecule: ribosomal RNA, 520 nt
Filed under: uncultured bacterium
Lineage: Bacteria
Description: bacterial SSU rRNA
Rfam family: Bacterial small subunit ribosomal RNA
Source: RNAcentral